UUAAAUUGAAGAGUUUGAUCAUGGCUCAGAUUGAACGCUGGCGGCAGGCCUAACACAUGCAAGUCGAGCGGUAGCACAGAGAGCUUGCUCUCGGGUGACGAGCGGCGGACGGGUGAGUAAUGUCUGGGAAA
This 131-nucleotide ribosomal RNA is filed under the name Klebsiella quasipneumoniae. Its description in RNAcentral is "16S rRNA. Bacterial SSU". It matches the Rfam family "Bacterial small subunit ribosomal RNA", at positions 1 to 124 of the family's 1533-position model. The record is from RNAcentral. Lineage: Bacteria; Pseudomonadati; Pseudomonadota; Gammaproteobacteria; Enterobacterales; Enterobacteriaceae.